CCAGUCUGCUGAGACAAUGAAACUGAGGACAGCCUGUGUGAAUACUGUGGAUACUUCAAGAUAUUCCCUACAGUUAUGACCCUUCUGUCAUAUUUUCCAUCUUCCACUGAUUCUUCUCAUUCUGAAGUGAAACAGUCAAAAUCAUGAUGGCACAAAGGAGCGCUGAGCUGAGCAAGAAAUUGUCACUUCUGAGCUGCUUUCCACAGUAUCUUUCUCCAUGCAAGUAGUAAUUGAAAAACACAAGGAGAUGAGAGUGAAUCCUCUAAGGAAAAUGGAAAAUUCUCUUACUCUUCAAAGGCAAAGCUGAAUUGAACUGCUACUGUAAAAGCUGCACAGAUAGAACCUCGGCUGAGAUAGAAACCUUUAUGAGCAGACCAAUUGGCAACAACCUACUGCCUGAUUACAGUGCCAGGAGCACAACAAAGAGCAGAGACCAUGUCUAUGCAGCAUUUGAAGAUCUCAAAGAAGGAGGCUCUACAGUCUCUCUGGGCAGCUUGUGCCAGUGCACUCUCAUGUGCACAGCACAGAAAUGCUUCCUGAUAUGUUGAUGGAACCUCUUUGUUCCAGUUUUUUUCUGUUGUUUCUUGUCCUGGCACAGAAGAGUGUGGUUCUAUCCACACUGCUGAGAUUUCCCUGGUCCUCAUGCAAGCUGAGAAAUCCCAGCCCUCAGCAUUUCAGCACAGACAGAAAUCAGUUAUGUAAAGUCUUCUGCAAAUAUUCAGUGUGCUGGCUCUUCUUAGAACUGUCCCUGUGUCAACACAGACUGCCUGACACUCAUCAGAAGAUCUACCAAUGAGAGAAGAAAUACAAAAAAUAACACAUGAUGUUCUUUUAUAUAAAAAUAUAAAAAUAUUUAGAUAUAAAUAUAUAUUCCAUGUUAACAAUAAGGCUUCUUCUCAUGUUUUUCAUUUUUCCUCUUGUGACUUUAAGAUUUUGUACUGACUGGAUGCAAGAGAGUAUUACUAAAUAAAAGUAAAGUUCACAGACA
Molecule: long non-coding RNA, 988 nt
Filed under: Coturnix japonica (Japanese quail)
Lineage: Eukaryota; Metazoa; Chordata; Aves; Galliformes; Phasianidae
Description: lncRNA (ENSCJPG00005011026.1)
Source: RNAcentral